CAAAGGGUCGCGAACCCGCGAGGGGGAGCCAAUCCCAAAAAGCCGCUCUCAGUUCGGAUUGCAGGCUGCAACUCGCCUGCAUGAAGCCGGAAUCGCUAGUAAUCGCGGAUCAGCAUGCCGCGGUGAAUACCGGUUCCCGGGCCUU
Molecule: ribosomal RNA, 145 nt
Filed under: uncultured Anoxybacillus sp.
Lineage: Bacteria; Bacillati; Bacillota; Bacilli; Caryophanales; Anoxybacillaceae
Description: partial 16S ribosomal RNA
Rfam family: Bacterial small subunit ribosomal RNA
Source: RNAcentral